Molecule: transfer RNA, 63 nt
Filed under: Haemaphysalis yeni
Lineage: Eukaryota; Metazoa; Arthropoda; Arachnida; Ixodida; Ixodidae
Also listed under: 1 other name
Description: tRNA-Met
Source: RNAcentral
AAUAAAGUAAGCUAAAUUUAAGCUAGUGGGUUCAUACCCCAAAUAUGAUUAUUUCCUUUAUUA